UGACCUCAGAUCAGGUAGGACUACCCGCUGAACU
This 34-nucleotide ribosomal RNA is filed under the name uncultured Atheliaceae. RNAcentral describes it as "partial 28S ribosomal RNA". Lineage: Eukaryota; Fungi; Basidiomycota; Agaricomycetes; Atheliales; Atheliaceae. The record is from RNAcentral.